RNAcentral lists this transfer RNA (69 nucleotides) under Hydrometra greeni. RNAcentral describes it as "tRNA-Gln". Lineage: Eukaryota; Metazoa; Arthropoda; Insecta; Hemiptera; Hydrometridae. The record is from RNAcentral.
UAUACUUAGGUGUUUGAUGCACUUAGAGUUUUGAUUUCUAAAGGUAUAGUUUAAUUCUAUAAAGUAUAA